Molecule: RNA transcript, 1937 nt
Organism: Felis catus (domestic cat)
Lineage: Eukaryota; Metazoa; Chordata; Mammalia; Carnivora; Felidae
Gene: CD274
Gene name: CD274 molecule
Exons: 8
Source: RefSeq, a predicted model, not a curated record
CCCCCGCCAGCUCAUUAGCGCGAGAACCCGCGCCACCUGCUGUUACAGCAGCUCCGGGGCCACCGCGUGCGGAGGCGCCGCCAGUCUCCCCGCCGGCAGAAAAAUGAGGAUAUUUAGUGUCUUUGCAUUCAUGGCCUACUGUCAUUUGCUGAAAGCGUUUACGAUCACAGUGUCCAAGGACCUGUAUGUGGUAGAGUACGGCAGCAAUGUGACAAUGGAGUGCAGAUUCCCCGUAGAAGAACAAUUAGACCUGGUUUCACUGAUCGUCUACUGGGAAAUGGAGGAUAAGAAAAUCAUUCAGUUUGUGCAAGGGAAGGAAGACCUGAAAGUUCAGCACAGAAGCUACAGUCAGAGGGCCCAGCUGUUGAAGGACCAGCUCUUCCUGGGGAAGGCCGCGCUUCAGAUCACAAACGUGACCCUGGAGGAUGCCGGGGUUUACUGCUGCUUGAUUGGCUAUGGCGGUGCUGACUAUAAGCGGAUUACUUUGAAAGUUCAUGCCCCAUAUCGAAAAAUCAACCAAAGAAUUUCUGUGGAUCCUGUCACCUCUGAACAUGAACUAAUGUGUCAGGCUGAGGGUUACCCAACCGCUGAAGUCAUCUGGACAAACAGUGCCCAUCAAGUCCUGAAUGGCAAAACCAUCAUCUCUGUUUCCAAUAUGGAGACAAAGCUUUUCAAUGUGACCAGCACGCUGAGAAUCAACACAACGGCUAACGAGAUUUUCUACUGCACUUUUCUUCAAAGAUCAAGUCCCGAGGGAAACAGUACUGCUGAGUUGGUCAUCCCAGAACCAUUUCUGGUUCCAGCAAAUGAGAGGACUCACUUCAUGAUUCUAGGAGCCAUCCUGUUGUUUCUUGUCGUGGUCCCGGCUGUCACUUUCUGUCUGAAGAAACGAGAUGUACGAACGAUGGAUGUGGAAAAAUGUGACACCGCAGAUAUGAACUCAAAGAAGCAAAAUGAUCUACAAUUUGAGGAGACGUAAUCCAGCAUUGAAAUUCCUGAUCUUAAAGCAGGGAUUCUCAGCCUGUGGUUUGGGCUCGUCAGGGGUAAGCAUGACCAGAGGAAUGCGGAGGGCCAGGCGAACUGCAGAUGAUGUCGGAUGUGAGAGGCCCAAGCACUGAGAAGUGGAAGCCAGGAGAGAAGAGGAGAACAAAGCAAGGAGUAAGCAGGGGUCACCUGCCAGGAAACCCUGGGGCCUCAGCAUGACUGGGGCCUCAGACUUACGGGCACCUGAGAAAGAGAGAGGACACUUCCAAAUUGUCUAUCGCUCAUCCUAGGAAAACAAGUUGAGAUUCCCUGAUUUAGUGGUCAGUUCCUACAGAAGUGCCCGUUGGCUUCACCAGCAUCUCUAUUUGUCGUCUGUGUUAUUGAGAGCCCCAGUGUUGCAGCAAUAUUUAAUAGUGUACUUUGACUCUCAUCUGUGCUAGAAAAGGCCCAUGAGCUGUGCCUGAACCCUUGAGUCCUACCAGUUCUCAUCACUACACAGAUCCAAGAUACUGCUUUUCAAAACUUUGGAUUUACAUGCCCUCUCUGGAGGCCCCAGCGUAUUCCUUCUGUCUUCGCCAUCUACCUGUGUUAUCAACAAGGAAAACCUUUGCUUUGCCACAUGUCAAGGCUGAAGAAACAGAAUCUCCAACAGAACAGAACUCCUUCUGUUCUCUUUUUGUACACAUUCAUUUGUACAGCAUCCGUUGUUUGCGUGACUGUAUCCUCUGUGUGAGGUACACGAGAGGGUUCUGGCUGAGUUGGAGGACAGUCUGUUCACUCCAUUCCUAAGUGUUAAUGCCUUCUUGUGGUGUUAGAUUUGUAAGGCACUUUAUAUCUUUGUCUUGUGUUUCACUGUAAAAGACAUAGGCAGAGAUGAUACUUAGUUCUGCGUUUUAAUUGUCAUUAUUUACACCUGCAUUAAUUUAAUAAAAUAUUUAUUUUGUUUCUCGGUG